Molecule: long non-coding RNA, 211 nt
Organism: Rana temporaria (common frog)
Lineage: Eukaryota; Metazoa; Chordata; Amphibia; Anura; Ranidae
Exons: 2
Source: RefSeq, a predicted model, not a curated record
UUGUAGAGUGAAAAUCCAGGCCUGCUCAGUGAAUGUUGCUGUUCUGUGAGGGGCCUUUAGGUGUCACUUCCAUGACAGUAAAGGGAAGCAGGAAGAGGAAAGGAGUCACAUACACAAUCUGCGCUGGGCGUGCUGAUAAUGGAAAAAAAUAAAGAUAAACAUCAGCAAGGAGAAAGCAUCCUACAGGCUGCCGAUCAUGGAUCUAAAGUUG